GCAUUGGGAGAGUGUAAGUGGGAUUUUGCACAGAGAGGAAAUGGAAUGUUGAGUGACAACUAAGGACAGUUAGAAAUAAGGUUGAAGAGCAAAGUCUGUUGGGGAAAAAAAAGUGUCUCAGGGGAAGAGUUGUUCCUGGACCCUGGACUGAACAGAGAUCCUUCUGGCACCUCAGGAUUGAAUCCCAACCAUUCUUGAGGAUUUCCCAACCUUUCCCUUUGAUCACAAGGCUUGUGGAUUGUAUCUGUUGCUUGUGGACAGCAAAGUAUUAAAUGGAUUGGCUGAACUUUUAGUAUCCUGAGAGGUUUAGUCCAGAAAGUGACAUCUUGAUACUCAUCAUUGAUUCAUUCAAAAAGGAGGUCAGGUAUCCAAGAAGGUCAGGUACCAAGUGAAAUUUUCCUAUGACAAGAUCUAUAAUGUAUGGAAGUUUUCAGUUGCCCCCAACCAAGUCAACCAAGAGAAAGCAGUCAAAAAUUAUCAUGAAAGGACUAACAAGGUUGCUGCAUCUGAAGUUAGAAGGAAAGCUUGGCUCUGCUCCAUACCACCUGUGUGACCUCAGGCAAGUCACUUAAUGUCUGUGGGCCUCCCUUUUCUCAUGAGUAAAAUGCAGAGUUUCUACUAAUAACCUGUAACUUCUCUUCAAAGCUUUAAAGUAAUGAUGCUAUGAUCCUUUUUUAUUUAUUGAGGGUGGAUUUUAGUAUAAGAAUUAACUUCCAUUUCAUUUUCAUCUAUGAGUUUUCAUAAUUAAGUCACAACUGCUUAGGAUACAUUAUUCUGAUGCCUCUAUAAUAAAUAUUAUUUCAAUGACCUGAGUAAUCUUUAAACUAAUCUACUUUAAAAGUUUUAUAUAUUUAGGCAUACAUAUGUAUGUGUAUUAUAUGUGUAUAUGCAUAAUUACAAUUGUAUGUAAAUUUUAUGGAAUUAUAUGUAGAACUAAAGAAAAUCUUUGUUGUUGUACUCUAGGUUUUUAUGUGACAGUUCUGAUGUAUGUAUUAAUGCUGAGAAUUCCCAUUCCUAUUACAUACUCAAAUCAGCUGAGGAAAACUUAAAAAGUUAUUUGUGCAGGUUUUCCUCCCACUUCUGCUGCCUUGAAUUUGAAGAAACAAUAUAUGGACAUUGGAAACAUCAUUACAUUCAAAAAGACCUGAAACACCAAAGAAGGAUCAAACUCGGUAAUUCAUUAAUUUCCUAAUCAAGACAAGCUUCUUUUUGCCACAGUACCCUUUAAAUGAGAAAAUAAAAAAUCUUAGCCAAGUAAAGUUUUAUUUGAC
Molecule: long non-coding RNA, 1271 nt
Filed under: Monodelphis domestica (gray short-tailed opossum)
Lineage: Eukaryota; Metazoa; Chordata; Mammalia; Didelphimorphia; Didelphidae
Description: lncRNA (ENSMODG00000033137.2)
Source: RNAcentral